Molecule: transfer RNA, 71 nt
Filed under: Xantusia bezyi
Lineage: Eukaryota; Metazoa; Chordata; Lepidosauria; Squamata; Xantusiidae
Description: tRNA-Tyr
Source: RNAcentral
UGAUAAGAACAGGACUUUAACCUGCCUAAACGGGGCUACAACCCGCUGCUAAAACACUCAGCCAUCCUACC